AUGAGGAGUGAGUAUGCAACAUUCUGCAUCUGUCUUUCGACUGAAGAACAUUGGAUAUUUUGUGGGAAAAUUUUUUAAAUUUUCAGUUUAAAGUUUAGCAAAUGGGACCCAAGAAGAAGCAAGCAAAAGUGAAGUAGCCCAGCCUGAAACAGCAGAGGGGGAGGAGGAGGAAGAAUUUGAUGAUGAUGGUAGCAGCACUGGCGAGCCCUGCACGGACAGGGAGAAGUAUGCCUUCAAGCCGGCAGAAGGCACAGCACCCCGCCAGAGGGAUUUCCACAGCUAACAAUGAACAGAAGUGAAGACAUUGCAAUCCCAUCAUCGCUGUCAGGCCAUUGUGCCAUGCUCAGUGAUGAGGACAAGAACAUUCCGACACCCCGUCCCACCACUCAGCCGGAGUAGGAGCAGGACAGCAGCUCGGAGUCAAAGUGUGUUUCAGUGCUCAAACUGUUGGGCUAUUUAGUUGGGAUUUUUUACAAUGUAAUAAAAUGCGUUAUUCCCUUA
Neoarius graeffei (lesser salmon catfish) is the source of this 501-nucleotide long non-coding RNA. RefSeq lists it as uncharacterized. The transcript is spliced from 2 exons. NCBI's taxonomy places the organism in Eukaryota, Metazoa, Chordata, Actinopteri, Siluriformes, Ariidae. The record is from RefSeq and is a predicted model, not a curated record.